AUUGUUUGGUUUAUGCUUGAUUUGGAUUUAUCAUGGGAAAGAUCUAGAAGCUAGAGUGAGAUUUUGCUACAGAAUCUAACCUGAAGGUGUGAUUUUUAUUUGCUCUGGUGAGAUUUUACCUGAGGAUUUGCCUUACUCGAACGUACUAUGGAGACGCUUGUUGUUGUGGCCCAGCACAGGAAUCAGUACUAUACCAGAGUCAAGUCAUGUAAGCAAGCUCGAUUCGGGUCUUCCCCUCCUCCGCACUUUAGAGAGAUCAAUUGCCGGACUUUCCAAUCUGGGUCAGGUAUACUGCCAACCCCUUUCGAUACUUGCACAGCUCCUGUGAACAAAGUCACUCUUUCUG
Molecule: unclassified non-coding RNA, 346 nt
Filed under: Hevea brasiliensis (rubber tree)
Lineage: Eukaryota; Viridiplantae; Streptophyta; Magnoliopsida; Malpighiales; Euphorbiaceae
Source: RNAcentral